GCUCCCGUAACUCAGGCUGGCCAGAGUGACUGCUUUACACGCAGAGGGACGGUGGUUCGAAUCCAUCCGGGAGUA
RNAcentral lists this transfer RNA (75 nucleotides) under Candidatus Latescibacterota bacterium. RNAcentral's name for it is "tRNA-Val". It matches the Rfam family "tRNA". From Rfam's summary of the family: Transfer RNA (tRNA) molecules are approximately 80 nucleotides in length. Their secondary structure includes four short double-helical elements and three loops (D, anti-codon, and T loops). The record is from RNAcentral. Lineage: Bacteria; Pseudomonadati; Candidatus Latescibacterota.